UUAGUUGCCAUCAUUCAGUUGGGCACUCUAGCGAGACUGCCGGUAAUAAACCGGAGGAAGGUGGGGAGUGACGUCAAAUCAUCAUGCCCCUUAUGACCUGGGCUACACACGUGCUACAAUGGUUGGUACAACGAGUUGCGAGUCGGUGACGGCGAGCUAAUCUCUUAAAGCCAAUCUCAGUUCGGAUUGUAGGCUGCAACUCGCCUACAUGAAGUCGGAAUCGCUAGUAAUCGCGGAUCAGCACGCCGCGGUGAAUACGUUCCCGGGCCUU
Molecule: ribosomal RNA, 271 nt
Filed under: uncultured Streptococcus sp.
Lineage: Bacteria; Bacillati; Bacillota; Bacilli; Lactobacillales; Streptococcaceae
Description: partial 16S ribosomal RNA
Rfam family: Bacterial small subunit ribosomal RNA
Source: RNAcentral